Molecule: ribosomal RNA, 482 nt
Filed under: uncultured bacterium
Lineage: Bacteria
Description: partial 16S ribosomal RNA
Rfam family: Bacterial small subunit ribosomal RNA
Source: RNAcentral
AUUGAACGCUGGCGGCAUGCUUUACACAUGCAAGUCGAACGGUAACAGGCCGCAAGGUGCUGACGAGUGGCGAACGGGUGAGUAAUGCAUCGGAACGUUCCCAGUCGUGGGGGAUAACUACUCGAAAGAGUAGCUAAUACCGCAUACGAUCUAUGGAUUAAAGCGGGGGACCGUAAGGCCUCGCGCGAUUGGGGCGGCCGAUGUCAGAUUAGGUAGUUGGUGGGGUAAAGGCUCACCAAGCCAACGAUCUGUAGCUGGUCUGAGAGGACGACCAGCCACACUGGGACUGAGACACGGCCCAGACUCCUACGGGAGGCAGCAGUGGGGAAUUUUGGACAAUGGGCGCAAGCCUGAUCCAGCAAUGCCGCGUGCAGGAAGAAGGCCUUCGGGUUGUAAACUGCUUUUGUACGGAACGAAACGGCUCUGGUUAAUACCCGGGGCUAAUGACGGUACCGUAAGAAUAAGCACCGGCUAACUACGUG